RNAcentral lists this ribosomal RNA (405 nucleotides) under uncultured bacterium. Its description in RNAcentral is "bacterial SSU rRNA". It matches the Rfam family "Bacterial small subunit ribosomal RNA", at positions 354 to 776 of the family's 1533-position model. The record is from RNAcentral.
GUGGGGAAUAUUGGACAAUGGGCGCAAGCCUGAUCCAGCCAUGCCGCGUGUGUGAUGAAGGCCUUAGGGUUGUAAAGCACUUUCGCCGGUGAAGAUAAUGACGGUAACCGGAGAAGAAGCCCCGGCUAACUUCGUGCCAGCAGCCGCGGUAAUACGAAGGGGGCAAGCGUUGCUCGGAAUCACUGGGCGUAAAGCGCACGUAGGCGGGUUGUUAAGUCAGAGGUGAAAUCCUGGAGCUCAACUCCAGAACUGCCUUUGAUACUGGCGACCUUGAGUUCGAGAGAGGUUGGUGGAACUGCGAGUGUAGAGGUGAAAUUCGUAGAUAUUCGCAAGAACACCAGUGGCGAAGGCGGCCAACUGGCUCGAUACUGACGCUGAGGUGCGAAAGCGUGGGGAGCAAACAGG